CCUACGGGCGGCUGCAGUGGGGAAUAUUGGACAAUGGGGGCAACCCUGAUCCAGCCAUGCCGCGUGUGUGAAGAAGGCCCUCGGGUUGUAAAGCACUUUCAGUGAGGAAGAACGCCUGGUGGUUAAUACCCAUCAGGAAAGACAUCACUCACAGAAGAAGCACCGGCUAACUCCGUGCCAGCAGCCGCGGUAAUACGGAGGGUGCGAGCGUUAAUCGGAAUUACUGGGCGUAAAGCGCGCGUAGGUGGCUUGAUAAGCCGGUUGUGAAAGCCCCGGGCUCAACCUGGGAACGGCAUCCGGAACUGUCAAGCUAGAGUGCAGGAGAGGAAGGUAGAAUUCCCGGUGUAGCGGUGAAAUGCGUAGAGAUCAGGAGGAAUACCAGUGGCGAAGGCGGCCUUCUGGACUGACACUGACACUGAGGUGCGAAAGCGUGGGUAGCAAACAGGAUUAGAUACCCCUGUAGUC
Molecule: ribosomal RNA, 465 nt
Filed under: Vreelandella stevensii
Lineage: Bacteria; Pseudomonadati; Pseudomonadota; Gammaproteobacteria; Oceanospirillales; Halomonadaceae
Description: partial 16S ribosomal RNA
Rfam family: Bacterial small subunit ribosomal RNA
Source: RNAcentral